AGUGGUGAGCGAUAGCGAAGAGUUACACCUGUUCCCAUACCGAACACGGAAGUUAAGCCCUUCAGCGCCGAUGGGAGUGGGGGCUUUCCCCUGUAUAAGUAGGACGUUGCCGGGC
Molecule: ribosomal RNA, 115 nt
Filed under: Bacillus sp. OV194
Lineage: Bacteria; Bacillati; Bacillota; Bacilli; Caryophanales; Bacillaceae
Source: RNAcentral